RNA transcript from Puntigrus tetrazona (Sumatra barb), 2115 nucleotides. It is a transcript of the gene named RNA-binding protein 45-like, with no coding region annotated. The record is from RefSeq and is a predicted model, not a curated record. Lineage: Eukaryota; Metazoa; Chordata; Actinopteri; Cypriniformes; Cyprinidae. The transcript is spliced from 11 exons.
UCCGCGGGUUUCUUCGGCGGCCGUGUUGUUCACGUGGGUCGCUGUAGGGAUGAUAUUUUAACCGUACGCGUCUAAACGUCAACACAGCCGCCGGCGGGCUAGACGCCUCGCAGUUAACGACGCACGUUAGACUUAUUACCGCGAGUAUGGACGAGUCUGGCCGAGCCUCCUCUUAUCUGGACGAGCCACCCAACAGCCGGCUGUUCCUCGUCACCAGCAAGUCCAUCACGGAGGAGACCAUAAGAGAGCAUUUCGCGGCUUUCGGGGAGAUUCAGGACAUUUGGGUGGUGAAAGACAAGCAGACGAAAGAGUCGAAAGGGGUGUCGUUCGUCAAGUUCGCCAAGUCCUCGCAAGCCUGCGCCGCGAUGGAGGAGAUGCACGGCAGGUGCCUGGCCGAAGGGACCAAGCCGAUAAAAGUCUUCAUCGCUCAGUCCAGAUCUUCUGGCAGUCACAGAGACGUGGAGGACGAGGAGCUCACCAGAAUAUUUGUCAUGAUCCCCAAAUCCUUCACCGAGGAAGAUCUAAAAGACACAUUUAAGGGAUAUGGGGAUAUAGAGUAUGCUAUUAUUAUAAGGAAUAAGACCACAGGUGAAAGUAAAGGUCUGGGUUACGUCAGGUUUCACAAACCUUCACAAGCCGCCAAAGCCAUCGAAAAAUGUGACAAGACUUUUAGAGCUAUUUUAGCUGAGCCCAGGACCAAAAACGCUUCAGCAGACAAUGACUAUUUCAGCAACCCUAGAGCGGAGCACCCCGGGAACGACGCAGCCUCGAACUCGUACACCUUCGCACACGAGUCCAGCAGCUACUCCACGGGGGACACGUGGAGCUCGGACAUCAUCACCCGGUGCCUGCUGGUGUCGUCCCGGGCCGCGGUCACUCAGGAGCAGAUCUGCGCUCUGUUUGACCUGAUCCCGGGGAUGGACUUCUGUGAGAUGCAGAGAGAUCAGUACGGCUUCAGCAAAGGUCAGGUGGUGGUGCGCUACAAUAACCUGGGCUCAGCGGUUUAUGCGAAAGAGAAGCUGAAUGGGUUUGAGUAUCCGCCCGGCAACCGUCUCUCGGUAUCUUACAUCGAUGACGGGGAGGACAGAACGAGUCCCGUGGGGAAGAUGGCGAUGCAGCUCGUGGCGGCUCAGAUGAUGUCUAUGGUGUGGAACGGCCCUUCUGGCGCACAGCUAAUGAAGACUAGCACGGGCUAUACAGCGCCCCCUGUACCACAGAAAGCACGUGUGCAGACAGAUGUAGCUCUCCCAUCUCUAAAGAAACUGGUGGCGUCUGACAGCGUGGUGAAGGAGAGGCUGUUUGUCAUCUUCAACCCCUCACCUCUGCCUGUGGAUGUGCUGGAGGACGUGUUCUGUCGUUUCGGUUCCCUGAUGGAGGUUUACUUGGUUCCGGGCCGGAAUGUGGGAUAUAUAAAGUAUGCAGAGCGGAAAGCCGCUCACGACGCCAUAGCCCUGCUGCACGGUAAAGUGAUUAACGGCGUCAAGAUGAAGGUGAUGCUGGCAGACCCGCCCAAAGAGGAAUCGCACAAACGCCAGAGAACUUACUGACCUUUGACCUUACGACAGGCUCAGAGGUUUAGAUGACAUGACGCAUGACCCCGACAUGACAGGACGGCUAUUUAUGAUGACACGACCUCAUAACGACGGACACUGACUGCCGUUUCAGUGCUUUAAAGUGUUUUUACUUUCUCCCUUUUUGUUUUCUUGUUUGCAAUAGAGACACUUGACCACUUGAUGUUUUCAUCUUGGUUAAAUCUGAUUGUAGGGUCUGCAAAGGUGUGGAACGACAGUAGGUCGAGUAAAAGACGACAGAAUCGUUACAUGUCAAGUAAAAGCGACAGGCAAAGCUUCAUGCAUGAAUUCAGUGAUGUGGAAGUACCUGCUCUUUCCAUGCUCUCCUUCUCAGACAGGCAUCGGACUGAGUUCUUGACUGAAGACGCUCCUUGAACACAACAUUGGUCAGGCAUGAGACACAAACAAAAAGGGAAAAAAUGACUACUGGGGCCACUGAUUAAGGGGAUGCUUACAUAUGAAUACAAUGCUAAAAGAUAUUAAGAACACAUGUACUAUGAGUUGUAUUAUUUCAUUAAAAUUCAUAGAUUUUUUUAUUAUACCC